UAAUACAUGCAAGUCGAACGCGUUGGCCCAAUUGAUUGAUGGUGCUUGCACCUGAUUGAUUUUGGUCGCCAACGAGUGGCGGACGGGUGAGUAACACGUAGGUAACCUGCCCAGAAGCGGGGGACAACAUUUGGAAACAGAUGCUAAUACCGCAUAACAGCGUUGUUCGCAUGAACAACGCUUAAAAGAUGGCUUCUCGCUAUCACUUCUGGAUGGACCUGCGGUGCAUUAGCUUGUUGGUGGGGUAAYGGCCUACCAAGGCGAUGAUGCAUAGCCGAGUUGAGAGACUGAUCGGCCACAAUGGGACUGAGACACGGCCCAUACUCCUACGGGAGGCAGCAGUAGGGAAUCUUCCACAAUGGGCGCAAGCCUGAUGGAGCAACACCGCGUGAGUGAAGAAGGGUUUCGGCUCGUAAAGCUCUGUUGUUAAAGAAGAACACGUAUGAGAGUAACUGUUCAUACGUUGACGGUAUUUAACCAGAAAGUCACGGCUAACUACGUGCCAGCAGCCGCGGUAAUACGUAGGUGGCAAGCGUUAUCCGGAUUUAUUGGGCGUAAAGAGAGUGCAGGCGGUUUUCUAAGUCUGAUGUGAAAGCCUUCGGCUUAACCGGAGAAGUGCAUCGGAAACUGGAUAACUUGAGUGCAGAAGAGGGUAGUGGAACUCCAUGUGUAGCGGUGGAAUGCGUAGAUAUAUGGAAGAACACCAGUGGCGAAGGCGGCUACCUGGUCUGCAACUGACGCUGAGACUCGAAAGCAUGGGUAGCGAACAGGAUUAGAUACCCUGGUAGUCCAUGCCGUAAACGAUGAGUGCUAGGUGUUGGAGGGUUUCCGCCCUUCAGUGCCGGAGCUAACGCAUUAAGCACUCCGCCUGGGGAGUACGACCGCAAGGUUGAAACUCAAAGGAAUUGACGGGGGCCCGCACAAGCGGUGGAGCAUGUGGUUUAAUUCGAAGCUACGCGAAGAACCUUACCAGGUCUUGACAUCUUGCGCCAACCCUAGAGAUAGGGCGUUUCCUUCGGGAACGCAAUGACAGGUGGUGCAUGGUCGUCGUCAGCUCGUGUCGUGAGAUGUUGGGUUAAGUCCCGCAACGAGCGCAACCCUUGUUACUAGUUGCCAGCAUUAAGUUGGGCACUCUAGUGAGACUGCCGGUGACAAACCGGAGGAAGGUGGGGACGACGUCAGAUCAUCAUGCCCCUUAUGACCUGGGCUACACACGUGCUACAAUGGACGGUACAACGAGUCGCGAACUCGCGAGGGCAAGCAAAUCUCUUAAAACCGUUCUCAGUUCGGACUGCAGGCUGCAACUCGCCUGCACGAAGUCGGAAUCGCUAGUAAUCGCGGAUCAGCAUGCCGCGGUGAAUACGUUCCCGGGCCUUGUACACACCGCCCGUCACACCAUGAGAGUUUGUAACACCCAAAGUCGGUGGGGUAACCUUUUA
RNAcentral lists this ribosomal RNA (1439 nucleotides) under Limosilactobacillus fermentum. Its description in RNAcentral is "bacterial SSU rRNA". It matches the Rfam family "Bacterial small subunit ribosomal RNA". Lineage: Bacteria; Bacillati; Bacillota; Bacilli; Lactobacillales; Lactobacillaceae. The record is from RNAcentral.